RNAcentral lists this ribosomal RNA (897 nucleotides) under bacterium P16L841. RNAcentral's name for it is "bacterial SSU rRNA". It matches the Rfam family "Bacterial small subunit ribosomal RNA", at positions 114 to 1012 of the family's 1533-position model. Lineage: Bacteria; Pseudomonadati; Bacteroidota. The record is from RNAcentral.
CGCGUAUGCAAUCUACCUUUUACAGAGGGAUAGCCCAGAGAAAUUUGGAUUAAUACCUCAUAGUAUAUAGACUCGGCAUCGAGAUUAUAUUAAAGUCACAACGGUAAAAGAUGAGCAUGCGUCCCAUUAGCUAGUUGGUAAGGUAACGGCUUACCAAGGCUACGAUGGGUAGGGGUCCUGAGAGGGAGAUCCCCCACACUGGUACUGAGACACGGACCAGACUCCUACGGGAGGCAGCAGUGAGGAAUAUUGGACAAUGGGCGCAAGCCUGAUCCAGCCAUGCCGCGUGCAGGAUGACGGUCCUAUGGAUUGUAAACUGCUUUUAUACGAGAAGAAACACUACUUCGUGAAGUAGCUUGACGGUAUCGUAAGAAUAAGGAUCGGCUAACUCCGUGCCAGCAGCCGCGGUAAUACGGAGGAUCCAAGCGUUAUCCGGAAUCAUUGGGUUUAAAGGGUCCGUAGGCGGUUUAAUAAGUCAGUGGUGAAAGCCCAUCGCUCAACGGUGGAACGGCCAUUGAUACUGUUAAACUUGAAUUAUUAGGAAGUAACUAGAAUAUGUAGUGUAGCGGUGAAAUGCUUAGAGAUUACAUGGAAUACCAAUUGCGAAGGCAGGUUACUACUAAUGGAUUGACGCUGAUGGACGAAAGCGUGGGUAGCGAACAGGAUUAGAUACCCUGGUAGUCCACGCCGUAAACGAUGGAUACUAGCUGUUGGGAGCAAUCUCAGUGGCUAAGCGAAAGUGAUAAGUAUCCCACCUGGGGAGUACGUUCGCAAGAAUGAAACUCAAAGGAAUUGACGGGGGCCCGCACAAGCCGGUGGAGCAUGUGGUUUAAUUCGAUGAUACGCGAGGAACCUUACCAAGGCUUAAAUGUAGAUUGACCGUUUUGGAAACAGAAC